Molecule: long non-coding RNA, 588 nt
Filed under: Ananas comosus (pineapple)
Lineage: Eukaryota; Viridiplantae; Streptophyta; Magnoliopsida; Poales; Bromeliaceae
Description: long non-coding RNA (ACOM_LNC024282)
Source: RNAcentral
ACGAGGGAUCAAAUCAGCUGGGUUCGAAGCCUCUACAGUAAAUUCGGUUCGGCGAGAUGAGCCGAAUAUGCGGGCUGAGCAAGAACCGAAGUAGGCCGAGGAGCCGAAUGACUAUAGAACAAAGGAAUGGGUCGGCUUGAAGAGCCGAAUGCCUUUAUAUUGAGUGGAAGGAAGUAUAGGGGUCGAGUGUGCCGGAUGGCAUGCAAACUCGAUUGAUCUACUUUAUGGACUACUCCUAAAAAGAACAGUAAAUGCGGAAAAAGAAAAGUUACAAGUAAACUACUCCCAGAGAAUACAGGAAAUUAUGAGGAAUUAAGAGUGGUCUUUUGUUCACAGGAAAAAAGACCCUUUUUUAGGGCGUUAUUGACCUAUUUAUAGAUCGCCCCUUGAUCAGUUAUUACUCUUACACGAUCUGCCACUAUCUCCUAAUAUCCUGGACCACCUCCAGCCGAUCGGAAUUGCAUGCAACUGCUUGCGGUUACUGUAACUUCCUUCAAUUGGCGUGACGGUUUAUUCUCUAAACCCUUUCGGUGCUCCCGGUGUAUAGCAAGAUUGAUCCCUUUGAACGGAAUACCGGCAUACCACCUG